GAGUGGAUAGACCUUGAACAGUGUGGUUGUUCUCCUGAUUUGCACUAAGAUGCUAGAGAAAAUGCUCCCUGUGCUUCCUGCCUGGGGAGUACAUGU
Molecule: small nucleolar RNA, 96 nt
Organism: Phodopus roborovskii (desert hamster)
Lineage: Eukaryota; Metazoa; Chordata; Mammalia; Rodentia; Cricetidae
Product: small nucleolar RNA SNORA31
Exons: 1
Source: RefSeq, a predicted model, not a curated record